ACCAAGGCGACGAUGGGUAGCCGAUCUGAGAGGAUGAACGGCCACAUUGGAACUGAGACACGGUCCAGACUCCUACGGGAGGCAGCAGUGGGGAAUAUUGCACAAUGGGGGAAACCCUGAUGCAGCAACGCCGCGUGAGUGAUGAAGGCCUUCGGGUUGUAAAGCUCUGUCUUAGCUGACGAUAAUGACGGUAAGCUAGGAGGAAGCCACGGCUAACUACGUGCCAGCAGCCGCGGAAAUACGUAGGUGGCGAGCGUUGUCCGGAAUUACUGGGCGUAAAGGGAGCGUAGGCGGUUUAUUAAGUGGGAUGUGAAAUCCCCGGGCUUAACCUGGGAAUUGCAUUUCAAACUGGUAGACUAGAGUGCAGGAGAGGAAAGUGGAAUUCCAAGUGUAGCGGUGAAAUGCGUAGAGAUUUGGAGGAACACCAGUGGCGAAGGCGACUUUCUGGACUGUAACUGACGCUGAGGCUCGAGAGCGUGGGGAGCAAACAGGAUUAGAUACCCUGGUAGUCCACGCUGUAAACGAUGAAUACUAGGUGUAGGGGGCGAAGCCCUCUGUGCCGCAGUUAACACAUUAAGUAUUCCGCCCGGGGAGUACGAUCGCAAGAUUA
RNAcentral lists this ribosomal RNA (610 nucleotides) under uncultured bacterium. RNAcentral's name for it is "bacterial SSU rRNA". It matches the Rfam family "Bacterial small subunit ribosomal RNA", at positions 267 to 896 of the family's 1533-position model. The record is from RNAcentral.